This 404-nucleotide ribosomal RNA is filed under the name uncultured Gammaproteobacteria bacterium. RNAcentral describes it as "bacterial SSU rRNA". It matches the Rfam family "Bacterial small subunit ribosomal RNA", at positions 355 to 776 of the family's 1533-position model. Lineage: Bacteria; Pseudomonadati; Pseudomonadota; Gammaproteobacteria. RNAcentral also lists the same sequence under 1 other name. The record is from RNAcentral.
UGGGGAAUAUUGGACAAUGGGCGCAAGCCUGAUCCAGCCAUGCCGCGUGGGUGAAGAAGGCCCUAGGGUUGUAAAGCCCUUUCACCGGUGAAGAUAAUGACGGUAGCCGGAGAAGAAGCCCCGGCCAACUCCGUGCCAGCAGCCGCGGUAAUACGGAGGGGGCUAGCGUUGUUCGGAAUUACUGGGCGUAAAGCGCGCGUAGGCGGUUGUGCAAGUUGGAGGUGAAAGCCCAGGGCUCAACCCUGGAACUGCCUUCAAAACUGCACGACUCGAGUCCGGGAGAGGUGAGUGGAAUUCCCAGUGUAGAGGUGAAAUUCGUAGAUAUUGGGAAGAACACCAGCGGCGAAGGCGGCUCACUGGUCCGGUACUGACGCUGAGGUGCGAAAGCGUGGGGAGCAAACAGG